RNAcentral lists this ribosomal RNA (309 nucleotides) under Triticum aestivum (bread wheat). RNAcentral's name for it is "partial small subunit ribosomal RNA". The record is from RNAcentral. Lineage: Eukaryota; Viridiplantae; Streptophyta; Magnoliopsida; Poales; Poaceae.
AUGAACCGCUAUGGUAUGCCAUUCAUACCUUUUGUUGGUCUUAACAAUCACCGGAAGACCACUGUUUUUGGUUGUGCCAUAGUUUUGGACGAGACCGAGGAGACAUACGUGUGGCUUCUGCAGACGUUUUUGAGGUCCAUGUGUCAAAAGAUGCCUAAGAGUGUAAUCACAGACGCCGACACUGCGAUGAUCAAGGCAAUUCGCGAAGUCUUGCCAGACGUGUGGCACCGUAUAUGUACGUGGCACAUAGAGAAAAAUAUGAAGAUUCACCUCAGUCACAAGUCCUUGAAGGAGUUCCGAACUCUUCUG